AGAUUACUGAAGGCACAGCUCCAAGUAACUCGCUUAAUUGCAUUCCUGGGACAAAAGAGGGAAGCGCUUCAAAGCUGAUGGACAGAUGGUAGAGUGUCCAGUCACAGCAAAGCAGGCCCCGAGGCUCAUGACAGACAACUCGGGGGCUGAGAUCUCAUUUGUAGUUCUGGGAUAAAGUCCAGGGUUUGAUGGCAGCAGGCUGACGUGUAAAGAUGCUCAACAAUGCACACCCCAGAGACAUUGAAUCGGAAAAGCUUGGAGUGAAUAACAAUCUGGAAAUGAACUCUGUCUGCCUAUUCACCAUUCCCCCUACAAAAAAUUCCUAUAUUCCAGAUGGUGUUCAAGUUCCCUUUCCCCAGGACCUCAGUAGUCAGUCAGGGAGGUACUCCUGCAAUCCAUGUGAGGGAAGUUCACCAUGCUCACAUGGGAAUGCAGUAGAUUGCCAAUAGGGAUGCCACACCUUUGCACUUCCUCAUAUUUCCAGAAACAAAGCUGAGGUGCCCAGGAACUGCAGUAGUUUUUCUUCUGUGUAAAAUAAGCAAGGAGGACUCUGCCCCACUGCACUCCAGGGAAGGAUUAAGAGAAUUGAUAUCAUCCAAAUCAAUUGGCCCUGUGCAGAUGACUUGAUAAUGAGGCCAUUGAGUUUUUAUGGUUCACUGUUAUUGCUACAAAAAUUAUGCUACAGAAAUCAUUCAAAUGCUCAAAAAGGAGCAUUAGUAGGAAACAGCGUGCUCCAAAGUUGUUGCUGAGAGGUGUGUAAUGUUCCUGAAGAUCCCCGAGGUACUAAGACUUCUGUGUACAUGAAUGACUCAUAGAGAAGAAAUGCACCAGAUGAAAAUAUAUGGAGAAGUUUGCCGAAGGUCAUAUAACUUAUUUCUGUUGUUUAAAGAAGUAAACCGCUGGGCGCAGUGGCUCACGCCUGUAAUCCUACCACUUUGGGAGGCUGAGGCAGGCAGAUCACUUGAGAUCAGAAGUUUGAAACCAGCCUGGCCAACAUGAUGAAACCCCAUCUCUACUAAAAUAUAAAAAUUAACCUGGCAUGGUGACACAAGCCUGUAAUCCCAGCUACUCAGGAGGCUGAGGCACAGUAAUCACUUGAACCCAGAAGGCAGAGACUCCAAUGAGCUAAGAUAGCGCCACUGCACCCCAGCUUGGGCGACAGAGCAAGAGUCUGUCUCAAAAACAGAUAAAUAAAUAAACCUUUAUUUUCUUGUUUCAUAAAUAAA
This 1226-nucleotide long non-coding RNA is filed under the name Macaca mulatta (Rhesus monkey). Its description in RNAcentral is "lncRNA (ENSMMUG00000060133.1)". Lineage: Eukaryota; Metazoa; Chordata; Mammalia; Primates; Cercopithecidae. The record is from RNAcentral.